Molecule: ribosomal RNA, 253 nt
Filed under: uncultured bacterium
Lineage: Bacteria
Description: partial 16S ribosomal RNA
Rfam family: Bacterial small subunit ribosomal RNA
Source: RNAcentral
UACGGAGGGUGCAAGCGUUGUUCGGAAUUACUGGGCGUAAAGCGCGUGCAGGCGGUUGAGCAAGUCAGAUGUGAAAGCCUUCCGCUUAACGGAAGAAGUGCAUUUGAAACUACUCGGCUUGAGUUCGGGAGAGGAGAGUGGAAUUCCCGGUGUAGAGGUGAAAUUCGUAGAUAUCGGGAGGAACACCGGUGGCGAAGGCGGCUCUCUGGCCCGAUACUGACGCUGAGACGCGAAAGCGUGGGGAGCAAACAGG